CAAUAGCGUAUAUUAAAGUUGUUGCAGUUAAAAAGCUCGUAGUUGGAUUUCUGUGAGAGUGCCGGUGUCGGCUGAUGCUUGUACGCAGGCGCUCUUACAUCCUUCUGUUAACUGUUCUUGGCAUUUUAUUGCUGGUUCAGGGCUCAGAUAUUUUACCUUGAGAAAAUUAGAGUGUUUCAGGCAGGCUUAUGCCGGAAUACAUUAGCAUGGAAUAAUGGAACAGGACCUGUGCGUCUCUCGGGGCGCCGGUCUCCGUUGUUGGUUUCGGGGACUAAUGUAAUGAUUAAUAGGGAUAGUUGGGGGCAUUAGUAUUUAAUAGUCAGAGGUGAAAUUCUCGGAUUUGUUAAAGACUAACUUAUGCGAAAGCAUUUGCCAAGGAUGGUUUCAUUAA
RNAcentral lists this ribosomal RNA (391 nucleotides) under uncultured eukaryote. Its description in RNAcentral is "partial 18S ribosomal RNA". It matches the Rfam family "Eukaryotic small subunit ribosomal RNA", at positions 592 to 976 of the family's 1831-position model. The record is from RNAcentral.